Molecule: ribosomal RNA, 492 nt
Filed under: uncultured bacterium
Lineage: Bacteria
Description: partial 16S ribosomal RNA
Rfam family: Bacterial small subunit ribosomal RNA
Source: RNAcentral
AGUGAACGCUGGCGGUAGGCCUAACACAUGCAAGUCGAACGGCAGCACAGUAAGAGCUUGCUCUUACGGGUGGCGAGUGGCGGACGGGUGAGGAAUACAUCGGAAUCUACUUUUUCGUGGGGGAUAACGUAGGGAAACUUACGCUAAUACCGCAUACGACCUACGGGUGAAAGCAGGGGAUCUUCGGACCUUGCGCGAUUGAAUGAGCCGAUGUCGGAUUAGCUAGUUGGCGGGGUAAAGGCCCACCAAGGCGACGAUCCGUAGCUGGUCUGAGAGGAUGAUCAGCCACACUGGAACUGAGACACGGCCCAGACUCCUACGGGAGGCAGCAGUGGGGAAUAUUGGACAAUGGGCGCAAGCCUGAUCCAGCCAUACCGCGUGGGUGAAGAAGGCCUUCGGGUUGUAGAGCCCUUUUGUUGGGAAAGAAAAGCAGCAGGUUAAUACCCCGCUGUUCUGACGGUACCCAAAGAAUAAGCACCGGCUAACUUCGUG